Molecule: ribosomal RNA, 712 nt
Filed under: Staphylococcus aureus
Lineage: Bacteria; Bacillati; Bacillota; Bacilli; Caryophanales; Staphylococcaceae
Description: bacterial SSU rRNA
Rfam family: Bacterial small subunit ribosomal RNA
Source: RNAcentral
UUUAUGGAGAGUUUGAUCCUGGCUCAGGAUGAACGCUGGCGGCGUGCCUAAUACAUGCAAGUCGAGCGAACGGACGAGAAGCUUGCUUCUCUGAUGUUAGCGGCGGACGGGUGAGUAACACGUGGAUAACCUACCUAUAAGACUGGGAUAACUUCGGGAAACCGGAGCUAAUACCGGAUAAUAUUUUGAACCGCAUGGUUCAAAAGUGAAAGACGGUCUUGCUGUCACUUAUAGAUGGAUCCGCGCUGCAUUAGCUAGUUGGUAAGGUAACGGCUUACCAAGGCAACGAUGCAUAGCCGACCUGAGAGGGUGAUCGGCCACACUGGAACUGAGACACGGUCCAGACUCCUACGGGAGGCAGCAGUAGGGAAUCUUCCGCAAUGGGCGAAAGCCUGACGGAGCAACGCCGCGUGAGUGAUGAAGGUCUUCGGAUCGUAAAACUCUGUUAUUAGGGAAGAACAUAUGUGUAAGUAACUGUGCACAUCUUGACGGUACCUAAUCAGAAAGCCACGGCUAACUACGUGCCAGCAGCCGCGGUAAUACGUAGGUGGCAAGCGUUAUCCGGAAUUAUUGGGCGUAAAGCGCGCGUAGGCGGUUUUUUAAGUCUGAUGUGAAAGCCCACGGCUCAACCGUGGAGGGUCAUUGGAAACUGGAAAACUUGAGUGCAGAAGAGGAAAGUGGAAUUCCAUGUGUAGCGGUGAAAUGCGCAGAG